This 251-nucleotide ribosomal RNA is filed under the name uncultured bacterium. Its description in RNAcentral is "partial 16S ribosomal RNA". It matches the Rfam family "Bacterial small subunit ribosomal RNA", at positions 525 to 775 of the family's 1533-position model. The record is from RNAcentral.
ACGGAGGAUGCGAGCGUUAUCCGGAUUUAUUGGGUUUAAAGGGUGCGCAGGUUGCUGUUUAAGUCAGUGGUGAAAGUCUGCCGCUUAACGGUAGGAUUGCCAUUGAUACUGAGCAGCUUGAGUUUGGGCGAGGCAGGUGGAAUGUGCAGUGUAGCGGUGAAAUGCAUAGAUAUUGCGCAGAACUCCGAUUGCGAAGGCAGCUUGCUAGUCCACAACUGACGCUGAGGCACGAAAGCGUGGGGAUCAAACAG